This 406-nucleotide ribosomal RNA is filed under the name uncultured bacterium. RNAcentral's name for it is "partial 16S ribosomal RNA". It matches the Rfam family "Bacterial small subunit ribosomal RNA", at positions 29 to 526 of the family's 1533-position model. The record is from RNAcentral.
AUUGAACGCUGGCGGCAGGCUUAACACAUGCAAGUCGAGCGAGCGGCGGACGGGUGAGUAAUGUCUGGGAAACUGCCUGAUGGAGGGGGAUAACUACUGGAAACGGUAGCUAAUACCGCAUACCAUCAGAUGUGCCCAGAUGGGAUUAGCUAGGGGGUGGGGUAAUGGCUCACCUAGGCGACGAUCCCUAGCUGGUCUGAGAGGAUGACAAGCAACACUGGAACUGAGACACGGUCCAGACUCAUACGGUAGGCAGAAGGGGGGAAUAGGGCACAAUGGGCGCAAGCCUGAUGCAGCCAGGCCGCGGGUGUGAAGAAGGCCUUCGGUUUGUAAAGCACUUUCAGGGAGGAGGCGUUACCCGCAGAAGAAGCACCGGCUAACUCCGUGCCAGCAGCCGCGGUAAUAC